Molecule: ribosomal RNA, 84 nt
Filed under: Escherichia coli
Lineage: Bacteria; Pseudomonadati; Pseudomonadota; Gammaproteobacteria; Enterobacterales; Enterobacteriaceae
Also listed under: 177 other names
Description: partial 16S ribosomal RNA
Rfam family: Bacterial small subunit ribosomal RNA
Source: RNAcentral
UUAAAUUGAAGAGUUUGAUCAUGGCUCAGAUUGAACGCUGGCGGCAGGCCUAACACAUGCAAGUCGAACGGUAACAGGAAGCAG